GGUCAUCCAUUCGUGCCUCCAACUACAAUGUUCCCCUCAGCAGUACAGCACAAAGCACUUCAGCCAGAAAUAGUGAUUCCAAAUUGACGUGGUCUCCUGGUUCAGUUACAAACACCUCUCUGGCUCAUGAGCUGUGGAAAGUCCCUUUACCACCUAAAAACAUCACUGCUCCGUCCCGCCCACCUCCGGGGCUGACUGGUCAGAAGCCACCCUUGUCUACGUGGGAUAAUUCUCCCCUUCGUGUAGGUGGAGGAUGGGGAAAUUCUGACGCCAGAUAUACCCCAGGUAGGACACAAUAGCUACGGUGCUUGAUUAUGGGCUGUUUGUUGAAUAUUGGUUAGUACCGGCUCUCCAAUUUAACAUGGACCAACACUGU
RNAcentral lists this long non-coding RNA (376 nucleotides) under Rattus norvegicus (Norway rat). Its description in RNAcentral is "long non-coding RNA NONRATT001180". The record is from RNAcentral. Lineage: Eukaryota; Metazoa; Chordata; Mammalia; Rodentia; Muridae.